GGGAAGCUGCCCUUGGGGGCAGCGGGAAAGAAAGAAGGCAGUAGGCGCAGGUUACAGGGGUGAUACGGGAAUAAGAGGCGAGAGAGCAGUGAGGGCAGCACGAGGUCAGAGAGAGAAGCAGCUGGCAGUUAACGUGCGGGAGAAAGCAGAAGAAACGUGGAGGUCUUGCGAGGGACAGCGCAUGAGGUGAGCACGGAGGAGUCAGAACGUGCAUGCUGAUGCUGCCCUUGGCAGCUGGCGACGCAACAGAAGCGCCAGGAGGAGAGUCCACGCGAGAAAAGGAGCGCCAGGAGGAAGAAGCUCGGAUUGGGCAGCACGUGGCAAGUCAGCAGGGAGCUGCUUUGGCAGCACGGGGUCAGUGAGGACCGAGAGACAGGGAGGUCAGAAGCGAGAGGCACGGACAGACAGCAAACUCCCUCAUCUUUCGAUUUAAUCUUUCCAAACUUCUCUCGGUUAAAUCUCUCCAUACUUAUAUUUUACUGUUGGUUUUAUUUUAAUAAUGUGUAACUAAUUUUAUUUUAGCUAGAGGUUAAUUCGAAAACCAUGAAUAUAUUUGUAAUAUGAAUUGAUUACCUUCGGUUGUGAUUUCAUAAGUUGUGAUUUCAAUUUACUUAUCCGUUCGUAUAAAAACUGAUUUUGUGUAUGUUGGUUGAGAGUGCACGCUUAAUUUACAUGCAUGAAUUUGAUGCUAGAAUAUAAGUGAAUUUCACCUAAUCGUUAUGAACUUAUUUUCACAAGUAGUAAAGGUUGCUAGUCACAAUCACGUUAAGUAAAUUCUUGGCAAGAGUAUCAUGCUUUUCAUAGUUACGAAUGCCUCGUCAAUGCUUAUAGUUUUCACAAAGUUUAAUGAUCUUUGAUUGUAUCGCUAUUGUGCUUUUCACGUAGGGGACUUUUGAAGAAUGUUUUGAAUUGUUGUAUGCGUUUUUCCGUCCAAUUCAAUAACUUAAGGAAAACUUGAAGAUUAAAAAAGUGCUGUUCACGGUUAAUCUGGAGUAUUGAAAUUCACAAUUUAUUGAAAGAACAACUGAAAAUCAAUUUAGGUUGCAUAUGUGUCAUGUGUGGAGAAGAACCCUCUAGCUAGUCCGUCAUUUAUCAUUUUACCUUAAUUUUAUGUUUUGUCAAUUCUGUAAUUUAAUUAAGUUUAAUUGACUUUUCAUCAAAACCAAACAUCUAUCCAUUAUUAAAUUAUUUUAUUUAUUUAGUUUUCUUUAUUGUUAGUCUUUUAAUUUAAUUUCCGUCCAUUUCAGUUCCUAGUGUUUAAUUUGAUUGUUUUCAUUAUUUUGAGUUAUCCUAAGUGUGUUUCGAGUUAUUAGAGUUUUUAGCCUAGUUUUGUGUCCUUGAGUCUUAUUUAAUAUUUUUAAAUUAAUUUAGAAUAGAUUAGCAAUCCCUCCUAAUCCCCGGCCUAGAACGAUACCCUACUUACAUCCAUACUACAAUUGUCAAAAAAAGAGGGUUUAAUUUGUGUGUCAAGAAAUUCUCGCACCAAAUUUUGGCGCCGUUGCCGGGGAUUAGUAACUUUGCUAAUCCUUUUAUUUUUGUUUUUGUUUAUGUUUAUAUUGGUGUUGUGUAUUUUACUUUUGAUAUUUGAUUUAUUUUUCUUUCUUUGAUUUUAGGCACAAAUGGAGCUGAGGGAAAUUUAAAGGAAAGAUGCGUCCGGCUAAAGACGUUAAAUCAAGCGCUUCUUGGGAGGCAACCCAAGCAUUCAACGAAAGGGAGACUUUGGAAUCGCUAACCCAAUCAGCUUUGCAUUCUUCCACCCUUAUCUUUACUGCUUUCAUUUUGUUUUGUUUAGUUAGUUGUGUUAUUUGGUUGAUUUCUGUGAAGUUUGUAUUAUUUAGUUUAAGUGUGGGGGAAGGUUAACUAAAGUCUCUUUACAUUAAUUUACAUAUAUAAAAAAAAAAAAAAAAAAAAAAAAAAAAGAUAAAAUUUAAAAUUAAUGAUAAAAAAAAAAAAAACACAAUUAAAAAAAAAAAAAAAAAAAAUAAAAUUAAAAAAAAAAAAAAAAAAAUUAAAAUUAUUUUACAAUGAUGUAAACUAAUAGUAUUCAUUGGUCGGGUGGUGCUUCAGUAGUAGGCGGGGCUUUAGCAGUCGGCGGGGCCACAGAAGUAGGAGGCGGCAGAGGUUGAUCAGUUGGAGCUUCACUACGCGGUGCCGCUCCAGAAGACGAAGGCAGAUGUUGUUGGAACAAACCCACAAACCUCCGAUGAUCAAGUAAAAUUUGACCAUCGGUGUCCUGCAUCUGGUCAAUCUUCCUCUUCAUGCUGGUGGCAUAGCUGUGUGCGAGCUUGUGCAAUUCCUUAUUCUCAUGCUUGAGCCCUUUAAUCUCUUGCUUGAGACUCUGUAUUUCAGCCACCAAGGAUUCAACGUGACGGGUUCGGGCAUAUAGGCGUUGGGCCAUGUUGGAUACGGAACCCGCACACUGCACGCUAAGAGCCAGAGACUCCUUAACCGCCAAUUCAUCAGACCGUCUAGCGAGCAGUCUGUUAUCUCUGGGGGUGACAAGGUUUCGGGCCACCACCGCAGCGGUCAUGUCAUUUUUCAUCAUCGAAUCCCCCACGGUAAGGGGACCAGUGGGGGAUAUGAAAGAAGGGCGCCAUAUGUUGUCUGGUGAAGGAGGAGCUGCCUCUUCACGAAUGUUCAAGUCAAAACGUCGAUCAGAAGGGCCUGCCAUUUUCUGAAGAUGUUGAGAAUGAAGAGAGUUGGACUGAUCAAGAUUAAACAAGUGCAAGAAGGGAGUGUUUACAGGAGGGAGCUCAAGUGUGUUGUGGAACAAGCUUAACGUCUCUAUAAAAAGGAAGAAAUCAAAGAGGCGCUCCUCAGAGAAGCGUCCUCUCGCAAAAUCGAAGAGUCGGGGCUCCGUUCUCAAACGUCUGAUUCUUUUCUCAAAAGAGGAGUUUCCUUUCUCAAAAGCCGGAUUCUUUUCUCAAAAGAGGCGUUUCAUUUCUUAAAGGCUGGGCUUGCUCAGAAACCACGAGCCGAACCCCGGAUUUCAAAAGAUCAAUUUGUCCAGACGUGUCGUCACUUGUCACACGCAAAUUGCUUUGCGGAAAUCUCGGGCAAUUUGUCGAAGCACCAAUUCAGAAAUCGAAGAGGGAAAUUCAACAGUCAAAGACACGCUAGCUUUCUCAAAAGCUGGGCUUCAACCCACGGGAUUUUCUUUUUCCAGAUUUAUCCGCACGUGUCACAUGCUACCUCUACAAUCGACGAUGCUCAGAGCUCGAAGCGCCGAUUACAGAUAUCAAUGAGGAAUCAGCUUUGCGGAAAUUACGGGCAGCUUUGUCAGAAAGCGCGUAAUUUGUAUUCUUCACCCAUCCACCGGCUGCCGACACUAAGUGAGAGAACAGUUCCGGUUGUGAAGACAAGUCCUAUAAGUUUCUACCUUCGCCUUCCACAGCAAAAGCACACUCUCUCAGCACACCCUCUCAACACCUCUUCAUCUCCGAAAAUGCAUUCCCAAAGAAUCCUCUCGAGUCACUCUGUGUUCCUCAUUCCUUGGGAUACUCCUGCGAACAAACCCAUUCAAAGCAAAAGUAUUUCAUAUCAUAAAGGUUGAAAGCAAGAGUAUCUCAUAUCAUGCUUUCUCCAUGUCCUUCUCCUUGUCUUUGUUUUCCGACAAGGAGAAAGAGAGCAAUCAGCCAGCAUUUGGUAUCAAUCUUCCGAUCUGGAGCCAACUGCCUGGAACCCCUUCCUGAUUGCUUACCUAGCCUUGCUCUCGAGUACUCAUCUUCAUCAUUUUAUGCUUUCUCUUCGUCUACCACAUCUGCCUGGGGGACAGUAAGGGAAGUGAAAAUGAUACCUCGAAGCAUGUGGAGACAAUUCAGCUAGGGACAAGGAGAAAGAAAGCAAGAGGUGGGCACUUGGAAAGAUUGAAGAAAGAAAUAAGGACCAACACCUUUCCCUCGUGCCUGCCCGUUGUGCAGAAGAAACAAGCAGAGAAGAAUGCAGCUUGCACAAUCAUCCCAGCGGAAGGAGUCCGAACUGAGGAACUAGAGAAGCUGCCACAUCUGCUUGGAGAACAAAUAAGGAACUGCAACAUAACCAAAGAGCAAAGCUUCGCCGUACAAUAUCAUAAAAUCAUCACUUGCAAGUGAAAAGCUAAGUGUCACCCUGUUCAAGAGGAAAGCUGCUGUGGAAAGUCAACAAGCACGACCAAUGAUUACUUAUUAGUUUUAUUCAUUAUCUUUUAUCGUAAUUUUCAAUUUUUCGUUUGCAAUUUUUUUUUUAAUUAAUUUUCUUGCGUACUUAACUGAAUUAUUUCUUUUCUUUGCAGGAACUUUUGGUUAUUUCCACCCUUGAAGUUGAUUGCAGAAUUUUAGCUUGGGGGUCAUCGCUUGAUUUUACUGCAAAUUAGGGAAGUUUUCAGUCCAAUUGCUUUAUUUUGUUUCUUAUUAUUUAUUUAUUUUAUUUUAUUUUUUUUUUUAUUUGCAUUAUAGUGUUUUCUGACAUUGGGGACAAUGUCAAGUUUAAGUGUGGGGGUAGAAAUCUCUAGAAUUUCAUUUGUUUCUGUUGUUGUGUUUCUGUGUUGUUGCUUUUUUGUUUUCUUUAAAAAAAAAAAAAAAAAAAAAAAAAAUCGGAAAAUUUAAAAAAUAAAAUAUUGUCUUGUUUCCCUUAUUGUUUUGAAUUAGAUUUUUGUUAGUUUCCCGACCCAAUGAUAUAAUUGGAUCAAAAAUUUGAACCAUGAUCAUCAAGAACUUAGUUAACAUGUGUUUUGUGAAAUUCCUAAUUCUCUUGUUAGUUUUGUACAUGUUUGAUCAUCUUUGAAAAAACCAAAUGCACAUAGCCUUGUUAAUGUGAAACUAAAGCAUGACUUAAAGCUUCAUAUGUGAAUUUAGUGACCAUAUACAUCCUAUGUGAGUUUUUGAGCCUAUUGAAAGUGUGUGCAUUUUUCAUACACUCCUAUUCUUUCAUGUGUGAUGAACUUAUGUGAGAUACAUCUCUAGAACUUGCGUAACGAUCUUUCGAAAAUGUUUGUCAUUGAUUGCAUGAACUUGGAAAUGAUAGAGGCAUUAGGUUUACCACUAUGGCCCAAAUAACCAUGUUUCCCAAAGAAAAAUGAUAUCAUUAGAUUGCCAAUUUGAGCCGUGUAUGUUGAGCCUUUUAUUUCUUAUCACCAGAUAUGUCUACCCUUAUACCUGAAACAUUUUUCCUUACCCUUUCCAAGCGAGCAAUGCGAGAUUGUCUUAUGAGAAACGUUUGUGAAGUACUUUGAAGGUGUUUGGCAAAAGAAUAAGUGUGGGGGUAUUUCAUGUUUUGUAUUAAAAAAAAAAAAAAAAAAAAAAAAAAAGAGAAGAAAAGAAAAAGAAAAAGAAAGAUUGUACACAAAGAAAAUAAAAAGUUGUUCAAGUUUCAGUUUAAGGGUGUGAUUGGAGGUUUCAGAAGAAUCGUUGGAGAGCUUGAGUUCUUAUAAAUCUAGACAAAAGAAUUGCUUGCAAUGUAGCUUGGAACUUGUGUUUUCCUAUUCUUUCAUUUCAAUAACCCUAUCCCUAAGCCUCAUUACAUCCAAUAAAAGUCCUCUUGAUUUAAGUUUUUGCAAUUAUGACUGGAGAAGUGAUCUUUAUGCAAGCUUAUGGUAGAAAUUUCACAUUUGAUUCUUUGAGCGAAACACAUUAAAACUAAACACAUGUGUGAUUGAGUGCAUAUCCCGUGAGAAGGUCGCUAGUUUGCAUAUGAUGAUUUUAAAAAAUAAAAACUUGAAAUUGCAUUAGCAUGGCUAUCUCACACACUACACUUCAAGGAUGAUUUAAAGAUUACUGCUAAUAUUUGAAUAAGGAAGAUGAACUUGGAUUAUUUCCUUGAUGCUAGCUAUGGUUCUUGAUGAUUUGUUUUCUUCGAAUGAAAUUCUAUGAGGGUCACAUAGAGGGAAGCUAAUGUUUUUCUUGUUACUUUCUUGUUCUAGUUUUCUUUGUUUUGCUCGAGGACUAGCAAAAAGUUAAGUGUGGGGGUAUUUGAUCGGAUCAUAUUUAUAUAUAUUUUUUACUUCGAAUUCACUCGUCUUUUCUUAGUUAGUUCCUUAUAUUUUUGAGCUAUUUACGUUAUUUUUGUGUUUAUAGGAUUUGUUAUGCAAAGAAAAUAAAAAAUAGAACAAGUGAAAUUUUAUGUAAUAAAUUCGUCAAAACUGUCUGUGUAGAUCAGCUUUUAAAUUAAAUUAAAAAAUUAUAUAUAAUAAUGAUAAAGUCAUGAUGAUGUUUGAAACAUCAUCAUGAUGGUUUUUGUUUUGUAGAAAAAAAAAAGAAAAGAAAACGGUGGAAAGAAAGAGUUGGACAAAGAAAGGAAAAGAAUCCAAGGCAAAAGAGGAGUAGAUGCGGGGAGUGUGAAGCAAGACAGGAAAAAGAAUAGAAUAAGAGUCCAGGUGGCGCAAAGAAUAGAGGGGGGACGGACAGUCCACACGGGAAGCUGCCCUUGGGGGCAGCGGGAAAGAAAGAAGGCAGUAGGCGCAGGUUACAGGGUGAUACGGGAAUAAGAGGCGAAGAGCAGUGAGGGCAGCACGAGGUCAGAGAGAGAAGCAGCUGGCAGUUAACGUGCGGGAGAAAGCAGAAGAAACGUGGAGGUCUUGCGAGGGACAGCGCAUGAGGUGAGCACGGAGGAGUCAGAACGUGCAUGCUGAGCUGCCCUUGGCAGCUGGGCGACGCAACAGAAGCGCCAGGAGGAGAGUCCACGCGAGAAAAGGAGCGCCAGGAGGAAGAAGCUCGGAUUGGGCAGCACGUGGCAAGUCAGCAGGGAGCUGCUUUGGCAGCACGGGGUCAGUGAGGACCGAGAGACAGGGAGGUCAGAAGCGAGAGGCAC
RNAcentral lists this long non-coding RNA (6783 nucleotides) under Malus domestica (apple). RNAcentral's name for it is "long non-coding RNA (MDOM_LNC021243)". The record is from RNAcentral. Lineage: Eukaryota; Viridiplantae; Streptophyta; Magnoliopsida; Rosales; Rosaceae.